RNAcentral lists this ribosomal RNA (799 nucleotides) under Salmonella enterica. RNAcentral's name for it is "bacterial LSU rRNA". It matches the Rfam family "Bacterial large subunit ribosomal RNA", at positions 454 to 1251 of the family's 2925-position model. Lineage: Bacteria; Pseudomonadati; Pseudomonadota; Gammaproteobacteria; Enterobacterales; Enterobacteriaceae. The record is from RNAcentral.
CAUCCUCCAAGGCUAAAUACUCCUGACUGACCGAUAGUGAACCAGUACCGUGAGGGAAAGGCGAAAAGAACCCCGGCGAGGGGAGUGAAAAAGAACCUGAAACCGUGUACGUACAAGCAGUGGGAGCACAGGUUUACCUGUGUGACUGCGUACCUUUUGUAUAAUGGGUCAGCGACUUAUAUUCUGUAGCAAGGUUAACCGAAUAGGGGAGCCGGAGGGAAACCGAGUCUUAAUUGGGCGUUAAGUUGCAGGGUAUAGACCCGAAACCCGGUGAUCUAGCCAUGGGCAGGUUGAAGGUUGGGUAACACUAACUGGAGGACCGAACCGACUAAUGUUGAAAAAUUAGCGGAUGACCUGUGGCUGGGGGUGAAAGGCCAAUCAAACCGGGAGAUAGCUGGUUCUCCCCGAAAGCUAUUUAGGUAGCGCCUCGUGAAUUCAUCUCCGGGGGUAGAGCACUGUUUCGGCUAGGGGGCCAUCCCGGCUUACCAACCCGAUGCAAACUGCGAAUACCGGAGAAUGUUAUCACGGGAGACACACGGCGGGUGCUAACGUCCGUCGUGAAGAGGGAAACAACCCAGACCGCCAGCUAAGGUCCCAAAGUCAUGGUUAAGUGGGAAACGAUGUGGGAAGGCCCAGACAGCCAGGAUGUUGGCUUAGAAGCAGCCAUCAUUUAAAGAAAGCGUAAUAGCUCACUGGUCGAGUCGGCCUGCGCGGAAGAUGUAACGGGGCUAAACCAUGCACCGAAGCUGCGGCAGCGACACUCAGGUGUUGUUGGGUAGGGGAGCGUUCUGUAAGCCUG